CUCAGGUAUUUUGUCACAGUGAUGGAAAGUGUAUUAACUCAGAACAUAAUCAGUAAAUAUAUGACUUGCUUUUUUUUUUUUUGCUUUUUUUUCUCAUUGAGUUUAUUGGUACAUUUUAGAAAUAUAGUAUAGUUACAUUCAUCAUUGGGAUCUUGUACCUUUACGUGACAAGUCUUGAUUCUCAUUUUUUCCCCUUAUCCCUGCCCUCCCUUCACCCCCUCCUCCCUUCAUAUUUACAAAUACUUUAUUUCCAUUUUUUCAUUUUCUCAUAUUUUCCCUUAUUACCUUUCCCCUACCCUACCCACUUCACCUACACCUUUAGCCCUUUUCUUCCCUUUUUACAUUGUCAGUUAUAUCAUUAAGAUCUUAUGUACCAUUACAGUUUUUCACACCAGAGAAACUAUUUGGUAUUUAUACAUGUGUGACUUAUUUAUUUCACUUAGGAGUAUAUCCUCAAAAUGUAUCCAUUUUCCUAUGAAUGACUCUAAUUUCUCAUUUAUAGCGGCACAGUUUGUAAUAGCUAAAACUUAUUUUUGCUUUUGAAGGGAAUUGGUAUGUUGGCCAGGCUGGUCCCAAACUCCCAGGCUCAAGUGAUUCUCCUGCCGCAUCUUCCCAAGUAGCAGAGGCUGUAAGCAGAGCCGUUACCCCUGGAUCCUAUCUCUUGAUAUUUUGAUAUAAUGGGAUACAUGCAGCAGCAGCUGGCUCUGCUCCUUUUUCUUUGUCCUGUACAGAAAUGAUAUAUGGCUUGCAACAGCCACCUUGUUACCAUCCACUGGCAAACAACACAGAAGCCAGCCCACAGAGGCCGGCAGAGGAGAAUGACAGAGCAGCUGGACUGAUGCGGACGAUUGCUGGCCACUGCACACCUCUGGAUCUCUUGGCUGACCUGACUGGCCCUGAAGUCAACCUGGGAGGACCAUCCUGGAACCCCGAAGGACACCACCACUCAGGACAGAAUGACGGAACUGGCUAAAGUUAUGCAUUUCCCAAGAAUAAGAAACAAAUCUGAGGAGCCGUCUGGGUGUUCUUUGCACUCUGCUCAGAAAGUCACAGGGCAGCCAUCCUGUCCUGCAACUCCACACCAACUUCUCAGAGCUUACUCAAGACCCAGUGACUCUUAGGAGGAGGAGCUUGGAUUGGCUCAUGGGACUUCUUCCAAGCUGAGCCCUUCCACGCUCACUUUUAGGAUGAGACGGUCCUCAC
Fukomys damarensis (Damara mole-rat) is the source of this 1203-nucleotide long non-coding RNA. The record is from Ensembl. NCBI's taxonomy places the organism in Eukaryota, Metazoa, Chordata, Mammalia, Rodentia, Bathyergidae.